This 1067-nucleotide non-coding RNA is filed under the name Pongo abelii (Sumatran orangutan). The record is from RNAcentral. Lineage: Eukaryota; Metazoa; Chordata; Mammalia; Primates; Hominidae.
CUCUCUGCCUUAUCCCGGCCCCUUGGUUGACGGUCGCUUCAGAGAAGCCCUUGAUGAGGCUGAAGACACAUCUAACAAGGAGGACACAGCACACCACCACAGGACACAACCCGAUGACAGCAGACAAAGAGAGGCCGUACUCGGUCUUUGCUGGCGCAGGCGAAACAGAGCUGUCUGCAGUGGAAGGAGCAAGCUCAGGGGCUUGUCCACUGGCCCCAGCGGCGGGAGCAGGAGAGCCCAGGGCUGCAAAAACAUCCUUUGCAAGGGUUCCAAAUGGAGAACGUGCAAUGUAAGGAAAGGCACCAGCUGAUGGCGCAGGGUGGUGCAGCUACUGGGUCCCUGGGCUGGAGCAAAGCCCAAACCUCAGCAAGGUGGACAGGUCUGCACUCACGAGAAGGCGGCCUUGCCCUCCUCCAUGUCCUUGCCCUUGGCCCCGGGCCCGGCUUUUCCACACAGGUUGACCGCAAUGCACAUGAACAGGCCACACUUGUUCAGGAAGUAGCAGGUGAUGUCCACAACCACCAGCAGCAGGACGAAGAUGACGAUGAGGAUGCCCACGAUGGCCCCAGUGCUCAGGCCUGAGGUGGGGCUGCCAUUGGCUUGGGUGGGAGAGAGAUGGCUUGUGGUUAACAGACUGAAAUGUGAGACCUCCGGACCCUGCCAGCAAAAGCCCCUGGGGGUGGGGAGGGCCCAGAGGACAGAGUCAUGGCAUUCAUGCCCAGAGUGACACCUUCCUGGGGACUUUCUAUGCCCCAGAGUUGAGAAAACAGGGUCUCUCUAUACCUUCCAGAGGGAGGGAUGACAACAUCACCUCACAGAUUGGGGACAGGGGUGAGCCUGGUCAGCUGGCCUCCCAUAAGUCCUAGGAGCAGACUGAGCCCCGCCUGUCUGAGAACACUGGAUAAUGAGGCAGUUGGAGGGCGCUGCUGUGUUUCCCCUGGACCAGGGCAAAAGGCUUUGCAGCACAGGCAGGCAGUGAUCACUGAUUUCAGGCGGGGCUGUGGCUCCUCGAGUGCUCAGGGAUAGGGGCCCAAAAUGGGGUGGUGGAGGGUUCCUGGGGCUUUCUU